RNAcentral lists this ribosomal RNA (425 nucleotides) under uncultured bacterium. RNAcentral describes it as "bacterial SSU rRNA". It matches the Rfam family "Bacterial small subunit ribosomal RNA", at positions 354 to 795 of the family's 1533-position model. The record is from RNAcentral.
GUGAGGAAUUUUCCGCAAUGGGCGAAAGCCUGACGGAGCAAUGCCGCGUGAAGGAUGAAGGCCUAUGGGUUGUAAACUUCUUUUCUCAGAAAAGAAUUAUGACGGUAUGUGAGGAAUAAGCAUCGGCUAACUCUGUGCCAGCAGCCGCGGUAAGACAGAGGAUGCAAGCGUUAUCCGGAAUGAUUGGGCGUAAAGCGUCUGUAGGUUGUUUAAAAAGUAUUCUGUCAAAGAUUAGGGCUUAACCCUAGAUAGGCAGAAUAAACUUUUAAGCUAGAGUUUGGUAGAGGCAGAGGGAAUUCCCGGUGGAGCGGUGAAAUGCGUAGAUAUCGGGAGGAACACCAAAGGCGAAGGCACUCUGCUGGGCCAAUACUAACACUGAGAGACGAAAGCGAGGGGAGCAAAUGGGAUUAGAAACCCCAGUAGCC